CUCUACAACCACAGUUUCUAAAGCAACAGGUCCCACUUCUGCCCUGGUUUCACGCCACCGGUGCACAGGACAGCUAGCCUGUUCUGUUACCCUACGCCACGUUCAGUUUAUUUCGAACUGCAGGAUGCUGACUAGGGGAGAUGGUGGCUUGACUGCUCUGAGCGCCAGAGGCCCUGCGGUUCAAAGUCUGCAAGAGUGAACGCAAGCUAAAGGAUCGGCCCGGGCGCUACAGCUCCCCCUGCCAGGUUGGCGGUGUCUCGGGGAACAAGCACGCCAUCUGGUGUCCAACAGGAGAAACUACAAAAGGAGCCCACCAUGCGCGGAAGAGCCGCCAACUCUGCACAGAAGGCCGACCCGCAACGUGGUGGGAAGUGUGGACUGCUCGGCAUUUGGAGUCUUGGACUCGAGUCCACUUCCCGAGCAUGCGCAAAGGAAAAAAAAA
Molecule: long non-coding RNA, 442 nt
Organism: Rattus rattus (black rat)
Lineage: Eukaryota; Metazoa; Chordata; Mammalia; Rodentia; Muridae
Exons: 2
Source: RefSeq, a predicted model, not a curated record